CCUACGGGCGGCUGCAGUGGGGAAUAUUGGACAAUGGGGGGAACCCUGAUCCAGCCAUGCCGCGUGUGUGAAGAAGGCACUCGGGGUGUAAAGCACUUUCAGUGAGGAAGAACGCCUGGUGGUUAAUACCCAUCUGGAAAGACAUCACUCACAGAAGAAGCACCGUCUAACUCCGUGCCAGCAGCCGCGGUAAUACGGAGGGUGCGAGCGUUAAUCGGAAUUACUGGGCGUAAAGCGCGCGUAGGUGGCUUGAUAAGCCGGUUGUGAAAGCCCCGGGCUCAACCUGGGAACGGCAUCCGGAACUGUCAAGCUAGAGUGCAGGAGAGGAAGGUAGAAUUCCCGGUGUAGCGGUGAAAUGCGUAGAGAUCGGGAGGAAUACCAGUGGCGAAGGCGGCCUUCUGGACUGACACUGACACUGAGGUGCGAAAGCGUGGGUAGCAAACAGGAUUAGAUACACGAGUAGUC
Molecule: ribosomal RNA, 465 nt
Filed under: Vreelandella stevensii
Lineage: Bacteria; Pseudomonadati; Pseudomonadota; Gammaproteobacteria; Oceanospirillales; Halomonadaceae
Description: partial 16S ribosomal RNA
Rfam family: Bacterial small subunit ribosomal RNA
Source: RNAcentral